AUUGAACGCUGGCGGCAUGCCUAACACAUGCAAGUCGAGCGGCUGAAGAGAGCUUGCUCCUGUGUUCAGCGGCGGGCGAGUGGGUGAGGCAUAUGAAUCUGCCUGGUUGGGGGGGGUGGCGUCCGACAACGGGGGCUGAUAAAGAAUGCGUCAUGAGGGGGGAUGAGGGGGAUGGUCGUACCGCACGCUGUCUGCUGGGCCUGGGUCGGAUUAGCUAGUUGGUGGGGUAAAGGCCUACCAAGGCGACGAUCUGUAUCUGGUCUGAGAGGACGAUCAGUCACACUGGGACUGAGACACGGCCCAGACUCCUACGGGAGGCAGCAGUGGGGAAUAUUGGACAAUGGGCGCAAGCCUGAUCCAGCAAUGCCGCGUGCAGGACGAAGGCCUUCGGGUUGUAAAGUACUUUUGUUCGGAACGAAAAGUAUCUGGCUAAUAUCUAGAGGUCAUGACGGUACUGUAAGAAUAAGCACCGGCUAACUACGUG
RNAcentral lists this ribosomal RNA (484 nucleotides) under uncultured bacterium. RNAcentral describes it as "partial 16S ribosomal RNA". It matches the Rfam family "Bacterial small subunit ribosomal RNA", at positions 30 to 507 of the family's 1533-position model. The record is from RNAcentral.